ACCCCCGUUACAGUUUACUCGUGGACAGCCAUCCUUGAAAGAGUUUAGUAGAGUGGCUCUCGUUCUCGAGAGAAAGUUACUUGCUUUACCAAUGAUGAACCGAAGUAACAACAAUAGUAGGCGAAUUUACGUCGGAAAUUUACCAUCUAAUGUAGAUGAAAGAGAUCUGGAGGAUAUCUUUUACAAAUACGGCGACAUUUCUGACGUUGACUUAAAGAUCCCUCGAUACGGAACUGGUGGCACGCCGUUUGCCUUUGUCGAAUUUAGUGAUCCAAGAGAUGCAGAAGAUGCAGUAAGAGGGAGAGACGGAUAUGAAGUUGAUGGUCAGAGGAUCCGUGUGGAAUUUCCUCGUGGUGGCCGCGGAGGUCGUUCUGGAGGUGGAGGAUUUGGAGGUGGGGGAGGAGGAGGAGGCUAUGGUGGUGGUGGCGGUGGUGGCGGCGGAGGUGGCCGUGGUCCUCCUCCCCGACGUUCUGAUUACCGUGUCAUGGUUUCUGGUUUGCCUCCUACUGGUAGCUGGCAAGAUCUCAAGGAUCAUAUGCGUGAUGCUGGUGAUGUUCAGUUCACAGAUGUUUUUAAAGAUGGAACUGGCAUUGUGGAGUUUUCCCGCUAUGAUGACAUGAAAUAUGCCUUGAAACAUCUGGAUGAUUCUAAGUUCCGCUCCCAUGAGGGUGAAGUUGCAUUCAUUAGAGUCAAACCUGACAAUCCAGGACGUGGUUCACGAAGUCGUAGCAGAUCCCAUUCAAGGAGUCGAUCCCCAAGAAAAAGAUCCCAUUCUCGAUCUCGUAGUCCACGUCGGUCUCCAAGGAAAUCAAAGUCUCCCUCUAGAUCACCAAAGAAGAGAAAAUCAGUCUCUCCAAGGCGUUCCAGAUCCCGUUCUCGUUCCCGUUCAUAGACAUAAACUGUUUGCUGUGGCUGUGAUGUAUUAUUUGUGUUGUGUUGUCACCAAGAAAAUACAGUCACUUUAAACCGUUAGUUGUAGACUCUUAAUAAUUCUUUAAUGUGUGUUUGACUAGUUAGAUCUUUUACUUUUUCAUGGUAUUAUUUUCAGGACAGCACAAGCACUUUCUGAUAUUGGAAAGGCAAGCUAGGAAUGAAACUUGUUUCAACAGUAAUGUUGCUAAAGAAAUCAAACUGGAUAAGGAAACAAUGGAAAUAAAAUGACCCUUGGAACAUUAGGACAUGUUCUUUGGACAUGAUAAAAAGCUGUCGUACAGAGGAGUCCGGAACCUCUCGUGUCAGUCAGUGAUCACGGAUCAUUAGGAUAGGAACUGGAGGUCAGCUCCAGUACAGUUUUGGGACAGAACACCGGAAACAAUCAGGAAAUCAAACAAACAGGAGUCAGUUUUUUGGAACUCUUUCAAUCAUCUGGCUAAGGAUUUGGAUGUUAACUCGUUUGGUAGUUCCAACAAUUUUGGAGGAAAAUCACAGUUUGGGAUGGAGGAAUAGCAAUCACAAUCUUUCAUACAAAAUGGUCUUGUACAGUAUUCUUCUUUGGAGGGUAUCCUAAAUCUGGUAUGAAUUUUAAACAGUCAGUUUUUUUGGAAGACCUCAAAUUUAGCAGAGUGAAAGUUGAUCCCCAAAUUUCCUGAUUCAAAUUUUGAUAAAAUCACAUGUUCAAAAUAUUUUGCACAUAAGGGUGAAGUUUUUCAAUUAGGUUUUUCUCUUUCUCCUCAACCUUUCUUUCCUAGUCAUCCUGCUUGUUUGAUUUUUUACUACUAACUUUUGUGCUUCAGUUGCUGGGUAUGCCAUGCAUAUGUCUCUAUCGUAGGAAUACAAGGGAUUUUAGCUGACACAACAAAAGUGCUUUUGCAUGUAUCAUUUAGUUAUCCAUGCAUAGUGACAACACACUUUGCUCUUCACUUAAAUAAAGUUCUUUUAGUCCAAGAAA
Molecule: unclassified non-coding RNA, 1888 nt
Filed under: Stylophora pistillata
Lineage: Eukaryota; Metazoa; Cnidaria; Anthozoa; Scleractinia; Pocilloporidae
Description: serine/arginine-rich splicing factor 1-like, transcript variant X1
Source: RNAcentral